UGAGGAAUCCUGUCUGUCGUCCCUGACGCGUGACUGACAUUUACAGCUUUGACUGUGAUAUAUCAUGGUAAUAUGUUUAUCUAAAAGCAGAGAGAUUUUGUGGCAUUUCAGAGAGCGAAUAAGCGGAAUGGAAAAAUAGGUCAGAUGACUCUGGCAAGAUAUAGCCUAGAAUAGAUGCUAUUAUACCAUGCCUGAUGCAUGAUUGUUGCAGCCUCUUCAAUUGAAUGAACAAUGACAAAAGUUACAAAGACAACUACAAUCCUACAGCAUCGAAAGUGUUAAUGUGAAGUGCUUUCAGACUUCAUUGGUGCUGAAUUUUUGAGUAUAUUAUCACCAGAAUGUCAUACAAAAUAACUUGGGCAGAAAACAGAUACCUUUGGACAAUGGUUACACCAAGGGCAGUGAAUGCAUUUCUCUUUUCACCAUUGGUCAGCUGACUUGCCUUCCCAGUUGCAAUGAAGAAGAAUGAUUAGUCAAAAGUAUUAAAAGGAAACAAGCAACAGUUAUGGUUCGUUUGGUUGGAGCCCUUUGUCAACAAAGGGAGAGAGGACCAAGUCAAACGUAUCCGAAAGGUACGGGGUUACAAGAUGGAAGCUUAGCCACGGUUUAUUGUCAAACAAAUAGACACGGCUGUCGGAGCCCUUUGUGCGCAGGGCAUUUGACGAACCGGGCACUCAAAUGACGCUAAAGACUUUUCACUUUGCUGAUGUGGCACCGAUGAACAUCACAGAGGAACUUUCUGGAUUAAGGAAAUCAUUAACGCCCUAAAGGCCUUUAGUACACCUGUUAUCUCCACCCAGCUUCUAAUUGUUGACGACCCGGAAUAUGCGCGACAAGUUAAAGGAAGGAUCGAAAACAAUUUUCGGAGAAAUAAAUUAAACAAUUUUUCGUUAUUAAUAUUUUUCAAUUGUCUUUUUAGGUGACGGGAUAUUUCGAUGAAGUAUAACUGCCUGAUGAUGUUUAAUGUCGAUUAAAUUAGACAUUAACCGAAUCCGCUUGCUAAAACUCGAGGUGGCUGCAAAUUCUAUCCAGUAGAGCCUCUGUAUACAUGUAAACUGGAAAUAAAGCCUGCUUUCAUCGAAGUCAUUAGUGAAACAAUACAAAUUGUAAAGCUGUGCUCCAUCUGCAAAAUCGUCAAUGUAUAUGUGAGGCAGUACCUCAAAGAACAAUUGCCUAGGGACUUCAUACAGGGUUUGCCAACUGCUAGCCGAGCUGUCAUGAACAUCGACGAUACAAGGAAACCGCAUAGAUAGUGUGUUUAUCUGUUAACUGCUUCAAAUUGGCUCAGAAUUAGGCAGCAAUUUUGGAAGUUGUUGCUUUCUCAGUAUGAAUGAGCUUCAAUGUUGGUGUUGCAGGUGUUACCCAUGUUACGUUGACUGUUUGGAUUCCUAUUCAUUAACAUUUCAAAACCAAAUUCAUCUUCUUAAAAUUGACUUGAAAGGAUUUGGAUCAUUCUAGGAACAUAUAUAUCAAAGAUGCAAAGCUCUAAUGGGAUUAAUUUAUCCGUCAAGUACGUUUUCAUUUGCAGUCUGUAUGUCCUUUCCGAAGGCUCUGCCAGAAGAAUAUGCUAAAUAAUGAAUUUAUGAAUCGCGUAAGUUACACGAGCAAGAAUUUUUAUGCCUAACGAUGUU
RNAcentral lists this long non-coding RNA (1631 nucleotides) under Daphnia magna. Its description in RNAcentral is "uncharacterized LOC116936002, transcript variant X4". The record is from RNAcentral. Lineage: Eukaryota; Metazoa; Arthropoda; Branchiopoda; Diplostraca; Daphniidae.